Molecule: long non-coding RNA, 2552 nt
Organism: Oncorhynchus mykiss (rainbow trout)
Lineage: Eukaryota; Metazoa; Chordata; Actinopteri; Salmoniformes; Salmonidae
Source: Ensembl
AUGACACCUGCCAGUUUGGUGUUAGCCUGGCUCCUGCUCGCUGUGAGGACAGUCACCUCUGCUGUGUAUCUGGAGCCCGAGGAGGAGGAGCUCAAUGAAACUGUCCUCUGCACCAAUGACCAGAUGGAGGUGGUCAUUCCCAGUGCCUUCUUCCUCAAUAAAUUGCCACCCAUUUAUGUCUGGGAUUUGCACCUAAAUGACCCAGAGUGCCGUGGUGUUGAGAUUGAAGAUGACUAUGUCUUCAGCAUCAAUACUAAUCUCUCUGACUGUGGGACAAUCAUGGUAAGACUUUGAGCUUUUCCCCCCUAGAAAUGCCCUUUCAUACUUGGGGAAUUUCAUUGCCAUUCUCUGGUAAUUGCUUUGGGAGAUUAAGAUUCACUUGUCUACGCCAACUAUGAAGGAUUUAAAUCCGUAAAGUAAACAAAGUAGUAACCUUUGCCGUUCGGAGCAACCCUGACAAAGAAGAAAAACAUAAGCACCAGUAACAUGGAGACAAACUACAGUUUGGAUCUCUUUUACCAGCCACAUAAAAUCCCCAUCACAGUAAAUUAUCUAAUUUUACGAUGCACCUCUGUUGUAUUGAGCUCUGGCCUGACGCCUGGUGUAGUAUUGUAGAACUUCUCUGCACUGGUUUGUGCCAGGAAAAAGGACUUUUUAUGUCUCUGUGUCCAGCAUGGAGGAAGUUAGAGGUAGGUUCGCAAGCCAACGCUAACUAGCGUUAGCGCAAUGACUGGAAGUCUAUGGGUAUCUGCUAGCAUGCUUAGUAUAUACGGAUAGCCUUCCAGUCAUUGCGCUAAAAUCCCGAAGUAUCCCUUUAAUUGGGGGAGCUCAAUGGGAGUUUGGACACAAGCAAUGCUCAUAAUAACUAGCAUGAAUAACACCUCUUUUCCUUUAAGUUACGUACAUGGGCCUCCGCUAUCAGUUUCCUGCAAUGAAAUGAUCCCAUAAUCUGUCAAAAAAAGCGUGAGGGCGAGACCCAGACAGAGAGAAAGAGAGAGGGGAGGGAUAAGUAGCCUAUAUUUAAAAGAAAAUGGGAGUGUUGUUCCUUUGCCCUUCUAAGAGCCACUGGACUUUAUUCAAAGCAGCGCGGAGUGGGUGGGAGCUCUAAAAUGAUCUGGAUUGACAUGGAAAUGAGCGUGUUUUCAGGCCUGCUGAAUAGCCAGGCUAUAAUUCAUUGGCCCACUUUGUAGUCGUCCCUUUUAUACUACCUCUCAGCCGCGUCUCAUACAGUGGUGGCGGGAGCACAGCUCCGAGGACAAUUUUAACUUUGGCAUGGUAUAAAUCUGUACUCAAGACCAUGAGUGUCAUUGAAACACUUGCUUAGAAUGCACAGAGGCAUUUCUUGUAAAGCAAGCAAAAGGUUAACACAGCUUUGUGUGUGUGUGUGUGUGUGGGGGGGGGGGGGGGGGGGGGGGGGUCGGUUCGGGUCUCUCCCCCCUUUCUCUACCCUCUGAGGUUUUACAAGGCUUUUGCUUCAGCAAACCAGCCCUAGUGAAAGUAGUAAGCCCGCUUUGCUUCUGGGAUUAGACACUGUUGGGAAAAGAAGGGAAUGCCAUAGUUAGCAAACACUCCUCCUUUCACCUUGAGAGGUAGAAGUAGACCCUCUUAAACCUCUUGAACCCCACAGACAGGACCGGAGAGAAUAGCAAGUGGGAAUGUAAUGACUCUCCAAAAUAAAUUGGACUUGCAGAUUUUGUCACCCAUUGCCAUAAUCAUUGUGGUCUCUCUGUCAAAUUGCAUGAGUUUGUUAAUUCACCAUUCAUAAGAACCCAAAGUCAGUGAACAGAGCAUUAUUCCUACAGAAUAAUGAAGACGUUAGUGCACUAUGUAGGGAAUAGGCUGCUAUUUAAGGCGCAGCUUCUGUGGGUCAGACAGUAGGCCCUGUGUAUUUACCCUGGGGUAAUAAAACAGUACUGGACAGUAGGGACAAGGGGCAAUUCAUCCUUCUCAAUGGCCAUGGGACCAGUCCUCCAGUUGCUCUCAACGGGGAUCCGGACACAACCCAGUCACAACCUUUUCAUCCAACCCCUCUUUAUGGUUUCUGCCUACGUCAGUAGUCUUCUACUAAGCGUUUGAAUUGUAUUACUCACACAUUCUAUAGUGACAGAAAAUGACAGUGCUGCUGCCUACUGUACGUAGGCGCUGUGGUUGGGGAAAGAGUCAUCUUGGAACCCAGAACCAAAUCUUGCAUGGGCUGGCCAGCUACUCAAUUUGAGAUUUAUGUUUGAUGUUUGAUAUUAUGUCACAGGAAAUUAAGAAAAGAGUUUGCUGAAGAGGGGUAACUUUUGGUGAAUGUAACAGGGUUUGGGACGUGUAGCGUGUGCUAGCUCACCCUUUCAUGGUUAUCAAUCUGCAGUUACAGUGCAUUUGGGAAAUAUUCAAACUGCUUUACUUUUUCCACAUUUUGUUACUUUACAGCCUUAUUCUGAAAUGUAUAACAAUGUAAAACAUCUCAUAAUUCUACACACAAUACCCCAUAAAGACAAAGCAAAAACAGGUUUUUAGAAAUGUUUGCAAAUUUAUUAUAAAUAAAAAAACUGAAAUAUCACAUA